UGGUGAUCUAUUUUAUUCCUUCAUUUAUCGCAGACACCCCCGCCGCGAAACAAAGCCGGCUCCGGGCACAACAAGCCGAGCUGUGGCGGGUAAAAAGUUGAAAGUUUCCGCAAGAAACGUUCCAGCGGUGAAGCCAAAAAAUAAAUUGGUUUCCACACGGAUCAGACAAAAAUAAGAAGACAAACAAAGAUUCCACAAAUGAAAAAUACAAAAAUAAAUAAAACGCUGUGCUA
Platichthys flesus (European flounder) is the source of this 233-nucleotide long non-coding RNA. RefSeq lists it as uncharacterized. The transcript is spliced from 2 exons. The record is from RefSeq and is a predicted model, not a curated record. NCBI's taxonomy places the organism in Eukaryota, Metazoa, Chordata, Actinopteri, Pleuronectiformes, Pleuronectidae.